This is a long non-coding RNA of Erinaceus europaeus (western European hedgehog), 621 nucleotides long. RefSeq lists it as uncharacterized. The record is from RefSeq and is a predicted model, not a curated record. Lineage: Eukaryota; Metazoa; Chordata; Mammalia; Eulipotyphla; Erinaceidae. The transcript has 4 exons.
CAUCACUUACCACAUAGCCUGCACUGUAUUCCCAUACUUCUAACCUGUGGUGAAGCUGCAUUCUUUUGUCAUCUUCUCUGGAGCUUGAAGUUUGUCAAGGGUCACAAACUUAGAAGAUUAGUGAUGCGAGACUUAGGUUUCUUGCAAAUGCUGUUGGACUGGUGGGACUUCAGCUGCCACAAAGGAGUGACUUUCAAAUCUAAUGAACCUUACCUGCUUUAGCCUGGCCUGGAACAGUCCAAAGAUCACAGUGCCUUUUCCGGACAGUUUCUACUGCAGCCAGCACUGCAGAAAGUUGCGUAAGAGAAAGAUAAGAAGAAAAGGAAUACACAAAGCUCCUCCCACGAGAUGAAUCCUUUUGUCAAAGACAUAUUUUUGGGGUGGUAGAUUUUUGUACUCCCCUGAGGCCACAAGAACCUAAGUAUGACAGAAAGACAUUUGAAGAGGCUUAGUACAAGUGCCGGCUUUGUCCAUUAGAGUAGUUGGAUCAUUGCAUUUUCUUUCUUUUUUUUUUUCUUCUAGUAAAAUUGAUUUUGUUAUAUUUUUCCUGUACUCCACACUUUGAUAUUCUUGUCUAAAAAAAACACACAAAAAAGCUAUCAACAGACAGUCCAUAUUUUU